This 290-nucleotide long non-coding RNA is filed under the name Mytilus galloprovincialis (Mediterranean mussel). The record is from RNAcentral. Lineage: Eukaryota; Metazoa; Mollusca; Bivalvia; Mytilida; Mytilidae.
AAAAAUAUCCUUAUUUUGGUCUGAAUUUAGAGCUUGUGAUCCAAAUAAAAGUAAAUCCGUGUUUAGUGUGACUGGAUAAUUAAUUGAGAAAAUAAUGUCAUUACGCAAUUCGUCAUAUUUUUUACAAUGCAAUAAGAAAUGAGCUGUAGACUCGAUCAAACCACACGAGCAGUUUGAAGAAUCUACUAGAUUUCGUUUGAACAAAUGUUCAUUUAGAGAACUACUAUUCAUCCUUAACCUGGCAUGCAAUACUUGACCCAUUCUUGUACCAGUGUAGUAAAAAUUAGGGC